This 755-nucleotide ribosomal RNA is filed under the name Fomitiporia bakeri. Its description in RNAcentral is "eukaryotic LSU rRNA". The stretch from base 313 to 466 matches the Rfam family "5.8S ribosomal RNA". Lineage: Eukaryota; Fungi; Basidiomycota; Agaricomycetes; Hymenochaetales; Hymenochaetaceae. The record is from RNAcentral.
UCCGUAGGUGAACCUGCGGAAGGAUCUUAACGAGUUAGAACGUGGAGGUUGAUGCUGGUGCAUAUAUAUAUAUGUGUACAUGUGCUCACUUUCACACUCUUCAUCCACUCAACCCCUGUGCACUUUAUCAGAGUUAGUAAUUGUAUUGUGGUGGGCCGUUUGUUAUUCAUUGUAGAAGCGGGGUGACCCUUUCUGGCAGCAUUAGUACAAUAUUGGUUCAACUGCUACUAUGAACACUUUGACUUAUACAAACACUUUACUUGUGAAUGUGAAUGUGUAAUGCUCCUUGUGAGCGGAAAUACAAAUAUAUACAACUUUCAACAACGGAUCUCUUGGCUCUCGCAUCGAUGAAGAACGCAGCGAAAUGCGAUAAGUAAUGUGAAUUGCAGAAUUCAGUGAAUCAUCGAAUCUUUGAACGCACCUUGCGCCCCUUGGUAUUCCGAGGGGCAUGCCUGUUUGAGUGUCAUGUAAAUUCUCAAUUCUCUCUUUCUUAAUUGAAGAAGAGGCUUGGACUUGGAGGAAUGCUGGUACUACUGUCUGUAUCGGCUCCUCUCAAAUGCAUUAGCUGGACUGUAGUUCGCAUUGUUUGGUGUAGUAAUAGUUAUCUAUCUAUAUUCACUGCAGUGCUUGCUUAGACUGUCUGCUUCCAAUAGUCCGUCUAUGUGUUGGACAGGUACUUUGUUACCUUUUGACCCAUUUGACCUCAAAUCAGGAGGACUACCCGCUGAACUUAAGCAUAUCAAUAAGCGGAGGAA